Molecule: microRNA, 20 nt
Filed under: Gadus morhua (Atlantic cod)
Lineage: Eukaryota; Metazoa; Chordata; Actinopteri; Gadiformes; Gadidae
Description: gmo-miR-135d-3p
Gene: gmo-miR-135d-3p
Source: miRBase by way of RNAcentral
AUGUAGGAUUCUAAGCCACU